This 26-nucleotide non-coding RNA is filed under the name Mus musculus (house mouse). Lineage: Eukaryota; Metazoa; Chordata; Mammalia; Rodentia; Muridae. The record is from RNAcentral.
AAGGGUCACCCAGGUGGUACUGGUUU